Molecule: ribosomal RNA, 303 nt
Filed under: Triticum aestivum (bread wheat)
Lineage: Eukaryota; Viridiplantae; Streptophyta; Magnoliopsida; Poales; Poaceae
Description: partial small subunit ribosomal RNA
Source: RNAcentral
AUGCAUCAGGAUUUGUUAGUUUGUGAGGAAAGAGGCAAGGUCAAUGAGUUUCUCGACUCGGUUAAAUCAGCCAUGCCACAACCUGAUCCAAACAGUGUAGAAAAAUGGAAAAAUGACCCCGACAGAGCACAUUGGGAGUUGAUGAGGAUGAUUGUCGUUCAUGAAUUGCCAUUCUCCAUAGUGGAAUAUGAUGGGUUUAGGCGAUUUGUGCAUAGUCUGAAUCCAACAUUUGAGGUGGUGUCUAGGAUGACAAUAACACUUGGUUGCCUCCUUCUAUUUGAUGAACAAAGGACAAAGCUUUGA